UGAGAUGAUCAUGUGUUUCCCCCCCUCCAUUCUAUUAAUGUGGGGUAUUAUGUUGACUGAUUUUUUUCCCCAUGUUGAACAGCCUUGCAUUCCCGGGAUAAAUCCCAUUUAGUCAUGUGUCGCAGGUGAGUGGGAGAGACGCUGGUCCUUGUCUCACCGAGUUGAGCAAUGGAUCUCGCAGACACGAGAGUGAGCAAAGAGACAGAGUAUACUGAGCCAAGUACAACGCUCUCAAGGGAUCCCUCGCUGCCACUGGGGACCAAGGACAGUGACAGUUCUGGCUUCUUCAAGCUGAAGAGGGACGGCGGAAGGGUAUGGCACUCAGAGUCUACCAAGGGUCGGUCGAGUGGUCCCCGGUUAUGGCUCCACAGGAAGGCUGGCAGGCAUGAGGCGGCACAGACAUCGGCAGCCACAAAGAGAAAACCACCAAUGACUGUGCUGACCAACAAGAUGGCGCCCGUAAGAUCCUGCCCCCAAUUUCCAAACCACUCUUCCUUUUUCUCAUGUUCAACUGUUGGACAUUUGCCGUGAUUGUUGUUGAAACUGAACUAAAGAAGUAAAUGUUUAACUUGGGCAUUUAUCUCAGGAUCCAAUAAAAAGUCAUCUGUCAGGGGCGCCGGGGUGGCUCAGUCAGUUGAG
Prionailurus viverrinus (fishing cat) is the source of this 639-nucleotide long non-coding RNA. RefSeq lists it as uncharacterized. The transcript has 3 exons. NCBI's taxonomy places the organism in Eukaryota, Metazoa, Chordata, Mammalia, Carnivora, Felidae. The record is from RefSeq and is a predicted model, not a curated record.